AUUGAACGCUGGCGGCAGGCCUAACACAUGCAAGUCGAGCGGAUGAAGGGAGCUUGCUCCUGGAUUCAGCGGCGGACGGGUGAGUAAUGCCUAGGAAUCUGCCUGGUAGUGGGGGAUAACGUCCGGAAACGGGCGCUAAUACCGCAUACGUCCUGAGGGAGAAAGUGGGGGAUCUUCGGACCUCACGCUAUCAGAUGAGCCUAGGUCGGAUUAGCUAGUUGGUGGGGUAAAGGCCUACCAAGGCGACGAUCCGUAACUGGUCUGAGAGGAUGAUCAGUCACACGGAAAGGGAGACAGGCCCCAGGCCCCCAGGGAGGGGGACAGUGGGAAAUUUGGGAGAAGGGGGGAAGACCUGACCACGCCAGGGGCGGGGUGGAAAGAGGGUCUUGGGUUUGAAAAGCACUUUGUGUGGGGAGGAAGGGCAGUAAGUUAAACCCGGCCUGUUUGACGGUUCCCAAAGAAAAAACCACGGCUAAAUUCGGG
RNAcentral lists this ribosomal RNA (483 nucleotides) under uncultured bacterium. RNAcentral's name for it is "partial 16S ribosomal RNA". It matches the Rfam family "Bacterial small subunit ribosomal RNA", at positions 29 to 507 of the family's 1533-position model. The record is from RNAcentral.